This 281-nucleotide ribosomal RNA is filed under the name uncultured Rhodoferax sp. RNAcentral's name for it is "partial 16S ribosomal RNA". It matches the Rfam family "Bacterial small subunit ribosomal RNA", at positions 1100 to 1382 of the family's 1533-position model. Lineage: Bacteria; Pseudomonadati; Pseudomonadota; Betaproteobacteria; Burkholderiales; Comamonadaceae. The record is from RNAcentral.
AACCCUUGUCAUUAGUUGCUACAUUCAGUUGGGCACUCUAAGUGAGACGUGCCGGUGACAAGCCGGAGGAAGGUGGGGAUGACGUCAAGUCCUCAUGGCCCUUAUAGGUGGGGCUACACACGUCAUACAAUGGCUGGUACAAAGGGUUGCCAACCGCGAGGGGGAGCCAAUCCCAUAAAGCCAGUCGUAGUCCGGAUCGUAGUCUGCAACUCGACUACGUGAAGUCGGAAUCGCUAGUAAUCGUGGAUCAGAAUGUCACGGUGAAUACGUUCCCGGGUCUU